CCCUUGCCACCCUUGAACUCUCUGGCUCCAGCUUACAAAACUUCUCUCCUUUCACAGAAUGAGGUUGUGGAGCUCGAUCCAUAACAUCCCUCAGCAUAUUCUCAAUAUCAUCAACCAGUCCCCUGACCUCAUUGCCUUCAUCGGCAUUGGUCGAAGUAGCCACACGGGGUUGCCGUGGGCGCCUAGGAGGCAUAGUACCUGAGGAAGAAGAAAUUUAGUAGUCCAUAAACAAGACUAACACAAUAAUCACAUAUACCCAAUAACACAUAGCAUCAAAGGCAUAAAAUGCCAAUGAAUCCGCCGCGGUCGGAUCAUCACUCUAUAGACACUACGUACUACUUGGGCAAAGGUGAUAGUGACAAGGAAGCAGGAAAAGGAAACCUAUAGCUCUGAUACCAACUGACACGACCCACCCCGAAUUUCACCCUGAAACCCAGAGUAAGUCGUGCGGGGACCACCUCCAAGGAAAAUUUACUGAAAAGAUUAAGCAAAUCUCCCUUGCAGAUGGACAACCCUAAGUCGAAAAUUUCAUAUUACACUCUUAAUUUAACGCUUCUGAAUAUCACAUAAUAUACAAAAAUUCUAAAGUAUUCAGAGCUACUAAACACAAGCGGAAGCAAGAAAAUACGAGUAGGUUGAACAGGUAACCUACUGGCGAAAACUGGCCGAAAAGCGGGUGACUAUGCCUCGUCUCCUACUAGAUCCAACCCGAACUCUGCAGACUGGGCAAUUUAAAACGAAGGGCCCAGGGGAAAACAUUUAAUAACGUUAGAGUGAGUGGACAAAAAUAAAUUAAUAAUUAAAAUAUUUAUGUUUCCCCAAACUAAUUUCUAAGGAAAAAUCGAAUGCAUGCCGCAAGCGAUAAAACCUUUAUCCCAUAAAAUAUCGAGCCUCUCAGACUCUAUAAUAUAUGUAUGUAUUUACACUCGUCCAUACUCCCUAUAUAAAUUCAUGGGUCUAUAUAGGGCUACUACGCUCGCGUCCAACGCUCACGUCACGCCUUAAUGCGGUGCUACACUACGCCAUCAAGGUGGACAGACGGGUGUAUAAAUAUGUGCCCAUACCCCCUAUAUGAAUUAAACACUCA
This 1087-nucleotide long non-coding RNA is filed under the name Fragaria vesca (wild strawberry). RNAcentral's name for it is "long non-coding RNA (FVES_LNC005038)". The record is from RNAcentral. Lineage: Eukaryota; Viridiplantae; Streptophyta; Magnoliopsida; Rosales; Rosaceae.